GGCAAGUGGGAGGAAGUGUCACAGCUCUUUUAUUUCUGCCACCCACAGCUUGGUGAGUAGGAGCAUUACAGCUCUUUUGCUCCCACAGUUCAGCAAAUUCUGAGUUCCUGUCCCAUGACCAAGAGGAAUGAGGAACAUGGACACCGGAGAAUGAGUAAGGCAGAGUAGAAUUUUAUUCAUCAGCGAGAGGGGACCUGAAAGCAGGUCGCCAUCUGUGAGGAUUAAAGUUAGGACCAAAUGCUGCUCAGAAAUUGUUUUAAUCUCAAAAGUAGUUGGCAAGUUUUCAGAGUUCAUUUUCAAGGCCUGGUGUAUGCAUUGGUUACAUGAAAACCGUGUGACAACCUUGGAAGUCUGAAAGAGCAGGAGAGAGGCUAAGCACACACAUAUUGUGAUUUUAAGAGUCUCAAGGGCUGACACAAGCUGAGAUGAGGAAAUAUGACCUCCUACACGUGUUUUCCAUGAGGAAUAUGUUUGCUGUGCAGUCACUGAGUUAAAAGCAACCUUCAUUCCCUUGUGCACCAAGGUAAUUUGGAAAACAAGCCAGAGAAGUCAGGACUGCUAUUUCUCAGUCUGAUUUAACCAUUGACAGACUAUUUUUACAUCCACUAUGGAGAUGUUCAGGUAGUGCCUCUCCAGAGCUGUAGAUGUCUUCCCAGGAUAUUCCAUCAUUCUACACAGCAUUUAAUUCUUGGAGCUCACAGUCCAAGACUGUUAUCAGUCCAUUUUCACUCUAUUGAUCAAGACAUACUCAAGACUGGGUAAUUUAUAAAGAAA
Molecule: long non-coding RNA, 774 nt
Filed under: Homo sapiens (human)
Lineage: Eukaryota; Metazoa; Chordata; Mammalia; Primates; Hominidae
Description: HSALNT0322336
Source: RNAcentral